RNAcentral lists this ribosomal RNA (257 nucleotides) under uncultured prokaryote. RNAcentral's name for it is "partial 16S ribosomal RNA". It matches the Rfam family "Bacterial small subunit ribosomal RNA", at positions 521 to 777 of the family's 1533-position model. The record is from RNAcentral.
UAAGACAGAGGGUGCAAACGUUGUUCGGAAUUACUGGGCGUAAAGCGCGUGUAGGCGGCUUUGCAAGUCGGGUGUGAAAUCCCACGGCUCAACCGUGGAAGUGCACUCGAAACUGCAAGGCUAGAGUCCUGGAGAGGAAGGUGGAAUGCUUGGUGUAGAGGUGAAAUUCGUAGAUAUCAAGCGGAACACCGGUGGCGAAGGCGGCCUUCUGGACAGUGACUGACGCUGAGACGCGAAAGCGUGGGGAGCAAACAGGA